CAGGGUGUCAGGCAGAGUGGAAGGAGAGGAGGAGAAGGGAAGUCGGGGACGUCGGUCAUGUCUAGGCGCUGGUGUUCUGGUGGCCCCAGCUAAGAAUUUGGAAGGGUGAAAAGAAAGUUAUUUUUUCUCCCUUACACUGGUAAAAUGAUAGCUGCAAGGAUGUCUGUCACGGGACAAUAAAGUGAAAAAUUUACCAUUCACUAUCUCCAAACUAUUUAGAGGUAUAGGGAGGGCAUUGCUCACAUGAGGAUUGAACACCAGCUUCAGGGUCCCAGUUUGUUAAGGAAAUCGAAGGGUGUGAUCAACAGCUCGUGCACUGCCGUGCUGCGAACCCAGAGUUCAGGCACUGACGUGGCGCUUCUGAUGGGUAGGUACGUGAUGUAACCCUCACUUGUGCUUUGAUUCUGUUACCCGCUUCCACACAAUGGGCUCCCCGCUCAAGGCAGGUGCCUCACUGAAUUUCCCGUGUUAGUGUCUGGUUGGCACUGUGUCUGUCCAUCUAUAUUCAGUUGCUGUAAUUGUUUACUGUGACGAUCAGGAGAGUUCUUGCCCAUGCGAUUGCGUUAUCAGCCUACUUGGUGAGCUCCGAUACCCCUGAGCUCAGUUUAGCUCAAAGCCCAGAAAAGCCUUUGUUUUAACUAGAGCCGAUUCUGCACAUCUGAGAGGUGUGGCACAUAACUCCCGGGCAUGUUUGGGGUUUUAAUCCAGUUUAUACUGGUGCCGUGGAGGGUACGGUCUUAAUGCUCAAGACUGAGCCAAGGCAGGGCUCUUUCAUUAACCUGAGACCUUUAAAAACUACCAAAGUAGCCUGGUACUUUGAUAUCCCUAGAGGUAGGACAGAAUUUCAGGUGAUCCUCUUUGUCCCCCUGGAUUGCUG
Molecule: long non-coding RNA, 877 nt
Filed under: Sus scrofa (pig)
Lineage: Eukaryota; Metazoa; Chordata; Mammalia; Artiodactyla; Suidae
Description: lncRNA (ENSSSCG00060041229.1)
Source: RNAcentral